This 272-nucleotide long non-coding RNA is filed under the name Phasianus colchicus (ring-necked pheasant). RNAcentral describes it as "lncRNA (ENSPCLG00000000239.1)". Lineage: Eukaryota; Metazoa; Chordata; Aves; Galliformes; Phasianidae. The record is from RNAcentral.
CUUACUUGCCUGCUGGAAGUCAAAGGGAAGUGAUUUGCUUCAAGUGUGAACAGAGGAUGCUAAACUUCCUUCAUAUGGAAGAAUGAUGUGAACUGGGAAUAUCACAAUGAAAUGAAUAAUAUCAUCCAUGAUUUUCCAGCCAGCUCUGAGACCACUGUUGCUCGAGGGCGUAUCAGAAGCAAGGUGGGGAAGCUGAGUGGAAGGAGGCAGAUGAACUGACAGAAGAACUAAUAUACUAAAGUUUGUUCUCUUUUGGUGCUGUUUGCUUGGCA